AUUAAAUCAGUUAUAGUUUAUUUGAUGGUGUUUUCUACUCGGAUAACCGUAGGAAAACUAGAGCUAAUACGUGCGUAAAUCCCGACUCACGAAGGGACGUAUUUAUUAGAUAAGAGGCCGACCGGGCUUUGCCCGACCUUCGGUGAAUCAUAAUAACUUCACGAAUCGCAUGGUCUUGAACCGGCGAUGUUUCAUUCAAAUUUCUGCCCUAUCAACUUUCGACGGUAGGGUAGUGGCCUACCGUGGUGGUAACGGGUGACGGAGGAUUAGGGUUCGAUUCCGGAGAGGGAGCCUGAGAAACGGCUACCACAUCCAAGGAAGGCAGCAGGCGCGCAAAUUACCCAAAUCCCAACUCGGGGAGGUAGUGACAAGAAAUAACGAUGCUCCGGCCUCACGGUCGGGUAAUCGGAAUGAGAACAAUUUAAAUCCCUUAUCGAGGAUCAAUUGGAGGGCAAGUCUGGUGCCAGCAGCCGCGGUAAUUCCAGCUCCAAUAGCGUAUAUUUAAGUUGCUGCGGUUAAAAAGCUCGUAGUCGGAUUUCGGGUGGCGCCUACCGGUCCGCCUUUGGUGAGUACUGGUAGGCACCACCUUUCUGCCGAGGACGGGGUACUGGGCUUAAUUGUCUGGGCCCCGGAGUCGGCGAUGUCACUUUGAGUAAAUUAGGGUGUUCAAAGCAGGCUUAUGCUCUG
RNAcentral lists this ribosomal RNA (687 nucleotides) under Trentepohliales sp. MPN184. Its description in RNAcentral is "SSU rRNA". It matches the Rfam family "Eukaryotic small subunit ribosomal RNA", at positions 100 to 797 of the family's 1831-position model. The record is from RNAcentral. Lineage: Eukaryota; Viridiplantae; Chlorophyta; Ulvophyceae; Trentepohliales.